GAUGAACGCUGGCGGCGUGCCUAAUACAUGCAAGUCGAACGAAACUUCUUUAUCACCGAGUGCUUGCACUCACCGAUAAAGAGUUGAGUGGCGAACGUGUGAGUAACACGUGGGCAACCUGCCCAAAAGCGGGGGCUAACACUUGGAAACAGGUGCUAAUACCGCAUAACCAUCUUUACCGCAUGGUCACUAUGUAAAAGGUGGCUCUCCUACCGCCUUUGGAUGGGCCCGCGCCGCAUUAGCCAGUUGGUAGGGUAAAGGCUUACCAAGGCAAUGAUGCGUAGCCGAAUUGAGAGGUUGAUCGGCCACAUUGGGACUGAGACACGGCCCAAACUCCUACGGGAGGCAGCAGUAGGGAAUCUUCCACAAUGGGCGAAAGCCUGAUGGAGCAACGCCGCGUGGGUGAAGAAGGUCUUCGGAUCGUAAAACCCUGUUGGUAGAGAAGAAAGGGAGUGAGAGUAACUGUUCACGUUUCGACGGUAUCUAAACAGAAAGCCACGGCUAACUACGUG
RNAcentral lists this ribosomal RNA (512 nucleotides) under uncultured bacterium. RNAcentral describes it as "partial 16S ribosomal RNA". It matches the Rfam family "Bacterial small subunit ribosomal RNA", at positions 28 to 507 of the family's 1533-position model. The record is from RNAcentral.